This 253-nucleotide ribosomal RNA is filed under the name uncultured bacterium. RNAcentral's name for it is "partial 16S ribosomal RNA". It matches the Rfam family "Bacterial small subunit ribosomal RNA", at positions 524 to 776 of the family's 1533-position model. The record is from RNAcentral.
UACGUAGGGUGCAGGCGUUAAUCGGAAUUACUGGGCGUAAAGCGUGCGCAGGCGGCUUUGCAAGACAGAUGUGAAAUCCCCGGGCUCAACCUGGGAACUGCAUUUGUGACUGCAAGGCUGGAGUACGGCAGAGGGGGAUGGAAUUCCGCGUGUAGCAGUGAAAUGCGUAGAUAUGCGGAGGAACACCGAUGGCGAAGGCAAUCCCCUGGGCCUGUACUGACGCUCAUGCACGAAAGCGUGGGGAGCAAACAGG